AAUGACAAAAUAACACAUACUGAAUCCCAGAUAGAAUUAAACAUACAGUAUAUAUAUAUAUAUAUAUAUAUAUAUAUAUAUAUAUAUAUAUAUAUAUAUAUAUUAUAGUAAUAGUCAAUGAUCUGUUUAAAUGCCAGUCUCUAAACCAGGUCAAUAGGUUAUUCAUCGUUUAGACUCAAAAUUCAGGUUCUUCAGUCAAAUUAGUGGCUCUAGAGCUUCACAGAUAUAGAAUAGUGAUGCUACAAUGAUAAUGUAAUGAUGUUCCAUAAUUACACAUUUAACGUGAGCCAUUAAUGAUUGUUAAAUAUGUAAAUAAUGUAAGGUAAUUUUAGCAGCAUGAUGUUUGUACUCUAGUCACUUUGAGGGAAUAUCAUGUUUUCACAGGCAGAAAUGGAGUCCGAGUCAGUCGCUUUAAGGCCUUUUGAGUUUGUGUGAAAGUCAUAUUAAACUGCGAGGGCAGUAUAUUGACAUGAAUCAGAGUGACAUUUGAUCGUCUUGGUCUUCUCCGGUAGUUCAGAGACAUUCGGCUGUUCAUUUGCACGCACCUGUGUUCAGCUGGAGAGCUGAUGAAACCUGUCCCGUCGGUCCUGAGAUCAUGAGAUCAUGCUUUAUCAAAGCUCUUGGGAUCCAGAGACAGAGAGAGACUCUGGAGACAACCGCUGACCUUCAAAUGAUCACACACACAAUUCUCCAUGUAUUUCAUUAUUAUUUUAAUAAGUUACUACUUUUGGCAUUGCAUUGUAUAGUGUAUUUAAAUACAUAAAUGCAUUUAUACAAUGUAUUUAUAUGUUUAUAAAAAUGAAUGUUUUGAUAGUAUUUAUGAAUGUUAAUAAGGAUCACACGCAGGGUUAUCAGCAGGGAAUUAACUUAUUAUCUUGUAAUAAAUAAUUAAAUAUAACAUUAACAUUAUUGACUGCUAAAUCAUAACAUUAGAUUUUAUAAAGAGUAUUUAUGUAAAACAUUUAGAAUAUAUAUUAAUCUAAAUAUAUAUUAUUAAGUUAAUAAAUAUGAUUAAUGAAAUCUAUUAUCUACUCUUUUUUUGUUACAUUUUAUUAUAAAAAAAAAUAUUAUUAAUACCUAUGAUUAUUAAAAUGAAUAAAACUUUUAAUAAUAACAAUUAUAAUAUUUACAAACAUUUUAAACAAUUUAUUUAAAUUAAUUAAUUAAAUGAACGUUUAUCAUGAAUAAUGAUAUUAUUCAUUAAUAUUUGGAACCAUUUAAAAAUCAUUUAUUAAUAUUUAUUAAUAUUAAUAUAAAUAAACAUGGUUAUUAUAAAAUUUUAUUUAUGAAUGUUUCUGUUAAAUAUGAAAUAAAAACAUUUCGUAAAAUGUAAAUAUUACACAUAUUUAUUAGAUAUAAAACAACAUUUUAAAAUUAUUAAUACAUUUUAUCAAAUAUUUGCUCAACAAUUUAUUUAUUGUUUUACAUUUUCUAUAAAUGUCUGUUGUAAUAUGCAGUGUUUUUGCACAGUGUGGUGCAGAUCUGAAAUCAAAGUCAGCUGCGUUCAGUGUUGCUGUGUUUAAUUUACGUGUGCUUCUGGAGAAGUGUGUGACUUUCUCAGGCUGUUGUGACAUUGACAUGAAUUGUGGCACUCUUGCAGGGGCGAUGGGAUGUUUACGGUAAAACUGAUGGAGCGGGCCAUGUGUACGUGUGUGUGUGUGUGUGUGUGUGUGUGCGUGGCACUGUGCCAUGAGGACGUUGGCACAGCAGUGGCAGAAUCAUCAUGAAAAAUCCCACACAGAUGGAUGAACCUGUGUGUGUGUGUGUGUGUGUUAUGAGGCCAAGGUCAGUGAGCUGUUGUUGUUUACCUGGUUCGCGGGUGGCUGGUACAUGCAGUUCUCUGGCUGAAUGUUUGUUUUAUUCAGAUGAAGGGCAGCAGGUCUCCAAACGCCUGCUUUGGUCCUAAUUUCCAUCAUUUUUAUACAAAAUCAUAUGUUCCUUUAUACUUUAGAAAUGUGUUUUAUCACUGUUGACUAUAGUCAGUAACAACUCUAUCAAUCGUAUGUGUGUGUUUAUGUGACUGUGUGUGUGUGUUUAGGUUGACAUGGGUACGAGCCAGUAAUAAUAAUGUAAGCUGAUCCUCCGUGUGAGAGAGAUCUGCCUGAGGCCUGAUCACGUUUACGGGGAACAGGCGUCUGGUUGGUCACGUGACUCACGUUCACCUCUGGUGUCAGGGCCAAUCAGGGGUCAGCGAGCGCAGACAAUGGCAGGUCUCCCCUCAGACUCGACCGUGUCUCCGCGUCAGCAGAAAAACACAAGAUGUUUGCUGGAGAGGCGCUGAAGAGCCAGCAGUCAGCAGAAAAACAAGGGCCGGCGGCCAACCAGACAGAUGGAGGCUUACAGAGGUCCACAGAGCCAACGCUUCACUCAAACUCACACACAGAAGAGCGUUUGUAAGAUUGUAAGGACAGAAAUACACUGACCUGUCGUGACCACACAAAGACAGCAAUUAACAGCCAGUUAAUGAUGAGUAAUGUCCAUCUCACUAGCUAUUUCUGUGCAGAAUAGUCCACUUUUAUCCUCACCAAGCUGUUUUAAAUCAAUAAAAUGUAUUUAUAAUCAA
Carassius gibelio (silver crucian carp) is the source of this 2563-nucleotide long non-coding RNA. RefSeq lists it as uncharacterized. The transcript is spliced from 2 exons. The record is from RefSeq and is a predicted model, not a curated record. NCBI's taxonomy places the organism in Eukaryota, Metazoa, Chordata, Actinopteri, Cypriniformes, Cyprinidae.